UAUCUGCUUCGGGUUUAUGUCCA
Molecule: non-coding RNA, 23 nt
Filed under: Arabidopsis thaliana (thale cress)
Lineage: Eukaryota; Viridiplantae; Streptophyta; Magnoliopsida; Brassicales; Brassicaceae
Source: RNAcentral